RNAcentral lists this unclassified non-coding RNA (593 nucleotides) under plant metagenome. RNAcentral describes it as "partial contains small subunit ribosomal RNA and internal transcribed spacer 1". The record is from RNAcentral.
AAGUCGUAACAAGGUUUCCUUCCGGUUAAAGAGAUUCAACUACCGAAGCCUCACACAGCGACUCUAAAUCAACUGUGGAGUCUUACCAUAGGUAAAGACAAUACCGCUGAAAUGCUGUGAUCACGAAAGUGUACCAGCAGCCUAAUCCAGGCCCACAGAUCAAGUGGCGGUGGUCUUAGCUACACAGCUUUAGACUAUAAUAUGACCGGUUCUUAUCCUAAUAGUUAAGAGCUUUACGAUCCGUACGUGAACCUGCGGAAGGAUCAUUAAAAGGUCAAUAUCCCUAUUUCAAAAGACCCAUUUUAAAUAUUUAUCUUUCCUGUGCCGGCUUUAGACGCCACCACCCUAACAUUCCCUUGCGGAAGUCCUCGAUAAUGGGGUGUAGGUGUCUGGGGCCCGGUUAGGAAGCCAGAGUUCAAGAAUUUGGGGGGGGUCGGGGUGUCCUUUCAUCCUUUGUUUAACUACUAUGUUGCUUUAGGCGGGCCCGUCUUUAACCAGACCGCCGGAGGUCAAAGCCUCUGGCCAGCGCCCGUUAGUAGCCCACAACAAAUUCUUUCAACCAUGUAUCUUCUGAAAAUAGUUAAUAAACUAAA